This 502-nucleotide ribosomal RNA is filed under the name Panorpodes maculatus. RNAcentral's name for it is "partial 28S rRNA". Lineage: Eukaryota; Metazoa; Arthropoda; Insecta; Mecoptera; Panorpodidae. The record is from RNAcentral.
UAACCUGAGAAACCCGAAAGUUCGAAUGAAAAGAUUCAAUAUUCUUCAAUUGGUUGUACAUUUACAUAUGUGAUUAUAUGUGAUAGUUUUGUGUUAAUUUCUUUAUCCUUCACGGGAUUUGGAAUGUACACAUAUUCUACACCACUUUGUUUAUGAACUAAAUACAACUAUGAAGGUAUGCACUUCUUUUCUAGUAGGACGUUGCGACCCAUUGAAUGUUAAUCUACGGCUACUCGUUAGAGCCUAUUCCCAUUUUACUUAAUUGUAUUUAUGGGAAAUAGAUUUCUGAGUGUGUCCCGAAUAACUGUUCGAUGGUAUUAUAAAACCAUAAUAUUGGAUCGCCAUUCGUGGCAUUUGGUAUUCAUUCAAGUAUGUAAGGUAAUUUGAAUGUCAGGGGCUAUUGUACUGGCUUUGAAUCCUAACUACUGUUAGAGUGAAAUUUACUAUCAAAUAGUAUCCUUUUAUUGGUCAGCAACGCUGUUGCUUUGGGUACUUUCAGGAC